Molecule: ribosomal RNA, 465 nt
Filed under: uncultured bacterium
Lineage: Bacteria
Description: partial 16S ribosomal RNA
Rfam family: Bacterial small subunit ribosomal RNA
Source: RNAcentral
GACGAACGCUGGCGGCGUGCUUAACACAUGCAAGUCGAACGGAAAGGCCCUGCUUGCAGGGUACUCGAGUGGCGAACGGGUGAGUAACACGUGGGUGAUCUGCCCUGCACUUCGGGAUAAGCCUGGGAAACUGGGUCUAAUACCGGAUAUGACCUUCCAUGUAGUGUGGGGGGUGGAAAGAUUUAUCGGUGUGGGAUGAGCCCGCGGCCUAUCAGCUUGUUGGUGGGGUAAUGGCCUACCAAGGCGUCGACGGGUAGCCGGCCUGAGAGGGUGGACGGCCACAUUGGGACUGAGAUACGGCCCAGACUCCUACGCGAGGCAGCAGUGGGGAAUAUUGCACAAUGGGCGGAAGCCUUAUGCAGCGACGCCGCGUGGGGGAUGACGGCCUUCGGGUUGUAAACCUCUUUCGACAGGGACGAAGCUUCGGUGACGGUACCUGUAGAAGAAGCACCGGCUAACUACGUG